UACGAAGGGGGCUAGCGUUGUUCGGAAUUACUGGGCGUAAAGGGCGCGUAGGCGGUGCAUCAAGUCAGGCGUGAAAGCCCCGGGCUCAACCUGGGAACCGCGCUUGAGACUGGCGCGCUCGAGUUCGGGAGAGGAUGGUGGAAUUCCCAGUGUAGAGGUGAAAUUCGUAGAUAUUGGGAAGAACACCAAUGGCGAAGGCAGCUCUCUGGGACGGUACUGACGCUGAGACGCGAAAGCGUGGGGAGCGAACAGG
Molecule: ribosomal RNA, 253 nt
Filed under: uncultured bacterium
Lineage: Bacteria
Description: partial 16S ribosomal RNA
Rfam family: Bacterial small subunit ribosomal RNA
Source: RNAcentral